UCGAACGGGGAUAAGACAUCGGAAGAGCUGCUUGCAGAAUGGAAGAAGUCAUAUUCUAGUGGCGGACGGGUGAGUAACGCGUGGGCAACCUGCCUUAUACAGGGGGAUAACAGCUGGAAACAGCUGCUAAUACCGCAUAAGCGCACAGCGGCGCAUGACGCAGUGUGAAAAACUGAGGUGGUAUAAGAUGGGCCCGCGUCUGAUUAGCUGGUUGGGAGGGUAACGGCCUACCAAGGCGACGAUCAGUAGCCGGCCUGAGAGGGCGGACGGCCACAUUGGGACUGAGACACGGCCCAGACUCCUACGGGAGGCAGCAGUGGGGAAUAUUGCACAAUGGGGGGAACCCUGAUGCAGCGACGCCGCGUGAGUGAAGAAGUAUUUCGGUACGUAAAGCUCUAUCAGCAGGGAAGAAAAAAGGACGGUACCUGAGUAAGAAGCCCCGGCUAACUACGUGCCAGCAGCCGCGGUAAUACGUAGGGGGCAAGCGUUAUCCGGAAUUACUGGGUGUAAAGGGAGCGUAGACGGCAAUGCAAGUCCGGAGUGGAAUGCGGCAGCUCAAC
RNAcentral lists this ribosomal RNA (560 nucleotides) under uncultured bacterium. RNAcentral describes it as "bacterial SSU rRNA". It matches the Rfam family "Bacterial small subunit ribosomal RNA", at positions 47 to 613 of the family's 1533-position model. The record is from RNAcentral.